This is a non-coding RNA of Amphimedon queenslandica, 46 nucleotides long. The record is from Rfam. NCBI's taxonomy places the organism in Eukaryota, Metazoa, Porifera, Demospongiae, Haplosclerida, Niphatidae.
AUAAUGGUUUUUAUCAAAACCAUGAACUGUCAAAAAGUAGAGAUGU